Molecule: long non-coding RNA, 2076 nt
Organism: Bactrocera neohumeralis
Lineage: Eukaryota; Metazoa; Arthropoda; Insecta; Diptera; Tephritidae
Exons: 2
Source: RefSeq, a predicted model, not a curated record
UUUUGCAUACAAAAUUUCACUUUGAACAAAAUAUUAAAAUUUCAUUGAAGUGAAAGGUGUUAGUAUGGCCACAACGAAAUUGUGUACAUGCAAAAUGGACAUCUGUGUUGUCUUGUGUACAUGCCGGCCAUUGUUAUGUCGCUGCCUUCUUACAAAUGUUCAAGUAGAAGGAUUCACGACGCCAUUUACAGUUCACUGUCGUGCUGCGAUGGCGUGUCGCUCUCUAUGUGGUCAGCACUUUAGUGUCAGAAGUCGACAUGAAAACAUGCAAUGAUUUUUUUCUCUUAGCUUGCUGUUUUUGUUACAAUUGUGGGACUUUUGGGACGCGUUAGCACGUUUAUGACCUUGUUGUCCGAAGUCUAAAAAAAAGUUUCAUUAUUGCCUAAAAUGCAUGGUGGAAAAGUUUUUCGAUUCGCCAAAGAACAUUUCAAUUGGUCUUCGACAAAAUGGUGCAGCAUUUUAUAACCGGACGAAUCGAAAACUGUUAUGUAAAGUGUCUACAACACUGACACAGGUGGUGCGAAAACUACUGUCAAGGUUUUGUCUAACCCGUAGAGACAUGAUGACCGAGUUGAACUCAACCAUGCCUCUUCGGACCCAAAUAAGUGCGCGGGCAUUUUUAGCCAGCUAUUUACACUGGACACCCAGGUAGACAAAGUCAAACGAUGUGUUACCCGACGGCUGCGCAAAAUGUCAAAAAACUGGGCACCACUUUGGUCUUGAUAGAAUUAAUAUGCUGAUCAUCAUCAUAUAUGUAGAUUCGAUGCGAUUAAGCUUCCUCAUGCACUGACCGCCAUCCACAGUGGAGCCUUCAGUGGAGCGGACACCUUCACCGACGUACUUGGAGUUAGAGAGUGACCUUUGCGCAGCCUGUAGCAGGUUAAACUCCUACUUAUCCAGAAUCGAACCCGACAUAUCAAAUGUAUGUCCAACGUGCAACGAGUUCCUGCAUGGCACUAACCAACUCUUUGCAUGCCCAGCUAACCCUACACAUCUGACACUCCUCUCCCUAUGGUCCGACCCCGUCGAAACAGCACGUUUUCUAGGCUUACCGUUGGAUGACCUCGAUGAAAAUUUAUCUCAACCUUACCAUCUUAAGGGUGACUAGAUAACCGUUACAAGAACAAUAACACAAAGUUGAAAAACGUAAUAUCAAAAAACAAAAUUUUUUUUACGGGUUGAGUUGAAAAUCAUACUACCGAAUUUCAAAACUUCGACCAAAAUGAAGUUGUGUUGAAAACCGUAAUAGGGGCUUAAAUAGGUAUAAAGCCGUUUUGAUUAUUUCCUUAUCAGAAUUAUCAAAGGCAAGAUGUGUCCUUAUUGACAUAUUUUAGUCGUCCCACUAUUAUAUUAUAUAUUCCUCGUAGGAUGCAGUAUAAAUUGGCAAUUGAAAUUACUCGCGCAAAUCUUCGGAUCCGAACAAUGGUUGUAAUAUAGCCAGAAGUUGCAAAAAGUUUAAAUAUUCCAUUACUUAACGUUUGCUUAUGGUGGUUGUCGAGCACAGGUGCUGUAUUGAGCACUGUCGUAGAUGCGCUUGAUGCUAUGGCGUGUCGUUUACUCCCUAUGGAUCUGAAGAUUUGAACAGUUCUUUGAACGAAUUUGCUUUCAUAUCUAACUACAAGUUAUAACGCUGCAGAAUGCUAUUAUUAUUAAUUAAAUAAGUAAUUAUUAACCAAAAAAAAUUCACAUCGUUACUCUCGAUUAAUUUUCCUUUUUAUUUAGAGAUAUGCUUUAGUUUUUCACUUCAUUUAUUUAUUUAUUUGUGUCUUUGCUUUGAAAAAUUUCACAGUUCACAACCUUACAAAUUGAAAAAUGAUGGAUGAUAUAGGACCAAUAUCAAGUGGGAACAAAAUUAAUUAUUGUGCCAUUAUAUGCAAACAUUAUAUAAAAUGGUUUUCAGGAGUUUUUCAUUUGGUUGCAAAUUAAUUUUGUGAUGUCCGAGUCUCAUCCUUAUGAGCACUUGAUUGCUUACAGAAGAGUCUUUAGUACUUUAAAUCAAGAAUGUGUUAUUUUAUAAGGAGUUUAAUUCAAAUAAUAUAAUAUGCGUUUUUCAUAUGCUUGAAAUAAGUUUAAUAA